This 254-nucleotide ribosomal RNA is filed under the name uncultured bacterium. RNAcentral's name for it is "partial 16S ribosomal RNA". It matches the Rfam family "Bacterial small subunit ribosomal RNA", at positions 793 to 1055 of the family's 1533-position model. The record is from RNAcentral.
GUCCACGCCGUAAACGAUGGAUACUAGCUGUUGGGCGCAAGUUCAGUGGUUAAGCGAAAGUGAUAAGUAUCCCACCUGGGGAGUACGGGCGCAAGCCUGAAACUCAAAGGAAUUGACGGGGCCCGCACAAGCGGUGGAGCAUGUGGUUUAAUUCGAUGAUACGCGAGGAACCUUACCAAGGCUUAAAUGGGAAUUGACCGGUUUGGAAACAGACCUUUCGCAAGACAAUUUUCAAGGUGCUGCAUGGUUGUCGU